UUGAGAGGGCAAGGCAGGGAGAGCUUCAGGAAACAGCUCCAGGGAGACAGCUAGGUUGGGUGGGACAGGAAACAGGAAGCAAUGUCAAGAAGGGGGUGGGGCUGGAAGUAGGCUUUAAGCCCUGUCAGCUCUUCACUGGGGCAUUUAAAGACAAGGCAGCUGAUGAUGAGGGGCUGCUUCUGAGUAUGGGAGCCAGAAGUUCUCCAGGAGAGGGAACUGGCUGAAUGCAGCAAGCCAGGAGGAGGACUCAGGUGACAAAUUAACCUCCACCCCUGGCUGUUCCUGAGGCUGACCUUUUCUGUACUUACACAGUCAUUCUGGAAUUCAAGAAGGGCUAGGAGCCCACCUCAUCCCCUGAGAGUCUGACAACAAGAUAACAAAACAGAAAAAACUUAGGAUAUAGGAUAAAAAUCCCAAAUACCUCCCCUCAUUGCCAUGAGACACCUAUGUCCAAUUAUAUUGAUGUGCCUAAAAGCAUCCAUUUCAUGAUGAACAAUGGGCAUGGUAUGGCUGUAUGUGCCAGAGUUUUCCAUCGCACAAAUGAGGAGAAGUGAUUUUUGGCUGUCUUCCCUUCCCUCUGUAGCCACUUGUGACUACCCCACAACCACCUUGUUGUAUUUCCAUGCUUUCUGGAGCACGAGUGAACAUAUUCCAGUUUUCAAGCAGUUUGCUCAAAUUACUAGCAGUUAAAUAGUGGAAAACAAGGUUAAGAAUACAUGUCAAUUAUGGAUGGCAGUCUUGGAGAGAGAGAGAGAAAGAGAAAGAGAGACUGUGUAUUUGUUAUAUUGUUUUAAAGGCUCAAAUAUUAAGCAUUGUUUUCAUUUACUUUAUUAACAGCAGAGUAUUAAAAUGGAUCUAUAAACUAGUGUUGAUAUGCCAGUCAUGCCUUGGAAAUAGUUAAACAUUAUUCUAUCGCAGCUGAACAUUCCAGGGUUUUUUUUCCUUGUGAAAUUAAUGCUUUUAGGCUGAAUUUAUGUCUGUCAACAAAUAAUGAUAAUAGAUGUGAGCUGGCUCAUAAUCCAGAGGUACUAGGUUACAAUGUGUUGCCAUGGAAACAGUGUUUUAUUGCAUUUUCUCUACUUGAUUUAAGCCAUUUGACAAUCAUAGCAACUGUUUGCCUGUCUUCCACAUCAUAAA
This is a long non-coding RNA of Hemicordylus capensis (graceful crag lizard), 1137 nucleotides long. RefSeq lists it as uncharacterized. The record is from RefSeq and is a predicted model, not a curated record. The transcript has 5 exons. NCBI's taxonomy places the organism in Eukaryota, Metazoa, Chordata, Lepidosauria, Squamata, Cordylidae.